This 416-nucleotide ribosomal RNA is filed under the name uncultured eukaryote. Its description in RNAcentral is "bacterial SSU rRNA". It matches the Rfam family "Eukaryotic small subunit ribosomal RNA", at positions 592 to 1017 of the family's 1831-position model. The record is from RNAcentral.
CAAUAGCGUAUAUUAAAGUUGUUGCAGUUAAAAGCUCGUAGUCGGAUUUCGGGUCGGGCCGAGCGGUCUGCCGAUGGGUAUGCACUGUUUGGCGCGGCCUUCUUUCCGGAGACCGCGGCUACUCUUAACUGAGCGGGCGUGGGAGACGGAUCGUUUACUUUGAAAAAUUAGAGUGUUUAAAGCAGGCUUAUGCCGUUGAAUAUAUUAGCAUGGAAUAAUAAGAUAGGACUUUGGAACUAUUUUGUUGGUUUGCGUUACAAAGUAAUGAUUAAUAGGGACAGUUGGGGUAUUCGUAUUUCGUUGUCAGAGGUGAAAUUCUUGGAUUUCCGAAAGACGAACUACUGCGAAAGCAUUUACCAAGGAUGUUUUCAUUAAUCAAGAACGAAAGUUAGGGGAUCAAAGACGAUUAGAUACCA